AUUGAACGCUGGCGGCAUGCUUUACACAUGCAAGUCGAACGGCAGCGCGGGCUUCGGCCUGGCGGCGAGUGGCGAACGGGUGAGUAAUGCAUCUGAACGUGCCCAGUAGUGGGGGAUAGCCCGGCGAAAGCCGGAUUAAUACCGCAUACGACCUGAGGGUGAAAGCGGGGGACCGAAAGGCCUCGCGCUAUUGGAGCGGCCGAUGUCGGAUUAGCUAGUUGGUGGGGUAAAGGCUUACCAAGGCGACGAUCCGUAGCUGGUCUGAGAGGACGACCAGCCACACUGGGACUGAGACACGGCCCAGACUCCUACGGGAGGCAGCAGUGGGGAAUUUUGGACAAUGGGGGCAAACCUGAUCCAGCCAUGCCGCGUGCGGGAAGAAGGCCUUCGGGUUGUAAACCGCUUUUGUUCGGGAAGAAAUCCUCUGGGCUAAUACCCCGGGGGGAUGACGGUACCGGAAGAAUAAGCACCGGCUAACUACGUG
This 484-nucleotide ribosomal RNA is filed under the name uncultured bacterium. RNAcentral's name for it is "partial 16S ribosomal RNA". It matches the Rfam family "Bacterial small subunit ribosomal RNA", at positions 29 to 507 of the family's 1533-position model. The record is from RNAcentral.